UGGGGAAUCUUCCGCAAUGGACGAAAGUCUGACGGAGCAACGCCGCGUGAGUGAUGACGGCCUUCGGGUUGUAAAGCUCUGUUAAUCGGGACGAAUGGUUCUUGUGCGAAUAGUGCAAGGAUUUGACGGUACCGGAAUAGAAAGCCACGGCUAACUACGUGCCAGCAGCCGCGGUAAUACGUAGGGGGCAAGCGUUGUCCGGAAUUAUUGGGCGUAAAGCGCGCGCAGGCGGAUUGGUCAGUCUGUCUUAAAAGUUCGGGGCUUAACCCCGUGAUGGGAUGGAAACUGCCAAUCUAGAGUAUCGGAGAGGAAAGUGGAAUUCCUAGUGUAGCGGUGAAAUGCGUAGAUAUUAGGAAGAACACCAGUGGCGAAGGCGACUUUCUGGACGAAAACUGACGCUGAGGCGCGAAAGCCAGGGGAGCGAACGGG
Molecule: ribosomal RNA, 429 nt
Filed under: bacterium
Lineage: Bacteria
Description: partial 16S ribosomal RNA
Rfam family: Bacterial small subunit ribosomal RNA
Source: RNAcentral